Molecule: ribosomal RNA, 936 nt
Filed under: Cladosporium sp. LY 4.2
Lineage: Eukaryota; Fungi; Ascomycota; Dothideomycetes; Cladosporiales; Cladosporiaceae
Description: eukaryotic LSU rRNA
Rfam family: Eukaryotic large subunit ribosomal RNA (bases 390-936)
Source: RNAcentral
GCCUUCGGGCGGGGGCUCCGGGUGGACACUUCAAACUCUUGCGUAACUUUGCAGUCUGAGUAAACUUAAUUAAUAAAUUAAAACUUUUAACAACGGAUCUCUUGGUUCUGGCAUCGAUGAAGAACGCAGCGAAAUGCGAUAAGUAAUGUGAAUUGCAGAAUUCAGUGAAUCAUCGAAUCUUUGAACGCACAUUGCGCCCCCUGGUAUUCCGGGGGGCAUGCCUGUUCGAGCGUCAUUUCACCACUCAAGCCUCGCUUGGUAUUGGGCAACGCGGUCCGCCGCGUGCCUCAAAUCGACCGGCUGGGUCUUCUGUCCCCUAAGCGUUGUGGAAACUAUUCGCUAAAGGGUGUUCGGGAGGCUACGCCGUAAAACAACCCCAUUUCUAAGGUUGACCUCGGAUCAGGUAGGGAUACCCGCUGAACUUAAGCAUAUCAAUAAGCGGAGGAAAAGAAACCAACAGGGAUUGCUCUAGUAACGGCGAGUGAAGCAGCAAUAGCUCAAAUUUGAAAUCUGGCGUCUUCGACGUCCGAGUUGUAAUUUGUAGAGGAUGCUUCUGAGUAACCACCGACCUAAGUUCCUUGGAACAGGACGUCAUAGAGGGUGAGAAUCCCGUAUGCGGUCGGAAAGGUGCUCUAUACGUAGCUCCUUCGACGAGUCGAGUUGUUUGGGAAUGCAGCUCUAAAUGGGAGGUAAAUUUCUUCUAAAGCUAAAUAUUGGCCAGAGACCGAUAGCGCACAAGUAGAGUGAUCGAAAGAUGAAAAGCACUUUGGAAAGAGAGUUAAAAAGCACGUGAAAAUUGUUAAAAGGGAAGGGAAUUGCAACCAGACUUGCUCGCGGUGUUCCGCCGGUCUUCUGACCGGUCUACUCGCCGCGUUGCAGGCCAGCAUCGUCUGGUGCCGCUGGAUAAGACUUGAGGAAUGUAGCUCCCUCGGGAGG